UAUUUCAUUCUUUCAGCUGUAUCUCUCUUUCUCUGGUUUCACUCUACAUCGUCUUCGAACUUGGAUUUAUCAUCUCUUCAUCGGCUACAAUUCCUCAAACACGUUAAAUCUCAUUCAUCUUUUUCCCCUUGAUUUUAUUACAUCUUGAAAGAUCUACAAACAUAUCCACCUGCACCGACACCUUCAUCUCGCAAAAAGCUCACAAAAUCAUCCAAAAAGCCGAAAUUCACCCCCAAACCAUCGGUUCAGAGGAGAGGAACUUUUGUCUUACCUAAAAGUGACAGUAGUGAUGAUGAUUCUGAAACCGAGCAGGAAUUACUCCACACAGUCAUUCUUAUGCAAGUCAUGCAAUGGGCAGAGGGUGGUGAGAGGCCCAAGUCUGUGAAAGUUAAUAUCAUGCCAGGGUGUGUUCUAUCAGAUGUACAGUACCCGUGCAACCCAUGAAGCUAUAGUUGCCUUACGAUCGAAAUAAUGAAUACUCCUAUCGUUUGGUUGACAAACAUGUGUGUAUUCAUUGGCUUCGAGAAUUGAAAACCAAAUCGGCAAUUCGAACUAAAGAAGUUUCUUCUUUUCAUGAUAUCAUUUAUGCUUCUAUCAAGGUCUUUGAUCAUUCCGUGGAGGAGUACAUAACUGCCUAUGAGAUCUUUCACCUUCUAAUUUAGAUGAUCUGAGUUUAUCUUUUAGCAAAUGGAGACUUCAUUCUUCAAAGUUUUGCAGCACCUAGCAUCACUACACGGCUAUUCAAUUUCUUCUCGGAUUCACACUUCCCCUCUUCGAUUGAUAUUUGUGAUGUUACGUUUGAAGUUAAGUAUUUCAUGAUAGGAGGACGGUAUUUGUUCCACCUGUUACCUACCAUGAUGCCAUUAAAGGUUUCAAGAAGGUUGGUGUUAUUGGAUUGGGUCCCAGGGUUCAUGCACAUUAACAACAGUCGAUAGCAUUGAUGAAGUGACUUUCUUUCAACCGGAAGUUUCAUCAGGUACACUCUUGGUGAUCCAGCAAAAGAAGUAUUAAAACACUCAUGUCAAGAUUUGAUGAUGAUAUGCCAGGAUGUCCGAAGCACCUUUUAUCAAGCUGUUGCUGAAUUUAAGAACAAUAACAGUUCUGAAAGCGAGUAAAUGAACUACUCUUUUGAUCCUUUUAUAUUUAUAUCCACUUACUGAUUGUAUGGUUUGAUUUUGUUUGUUAUGACUGGUGGAAUUUUGUCUUUUUCUCAGACUUUGUUUUGUAUCUACCUUAUUUAGAGGUGACAAGUUCAGUCAGU
Molecule: long non-coding RNA, 1261 nt
Filed under: Helianthus annuus (common sunflower)
Lineage: Eukaryota; Viridiplantae; Streptophyta; Magnoliopsida; Asterales; Asteraceae
Description: hypothetical non coding rna
Source: RNAcentral